UACGAAGGGGGCUAGCGUUGUUCGGAUUUACUGGGCGUAAAGCGCGUGUAGGCGGGCUGGUAAGUUGGGGGUGAAAUCCCGAGGCUCAACCUCGGAACUGCCUCCAAAACUUCCAGCCUGGACUCAAGUAGAGGCAAGUGGAAUUGCGAGUGUAGAGGUGAAAUUCGUAGAUAUUCGCAGGAACACCAGUGGCGAAGGCGACUUGCUGGACUUGUAGUGACGCUGAGACGCGAAAGCGUGGGGAGCAAACAGG
This 253-nucleotide ribosomal RNA is filed under the name uncultured bacterium. RNAcentral describes it as "partial 16S ribosomal RNA". It matches the Rfam family "Bacterial small subunit ribosomal RNA", at positions 524 to 776 of the family's 1533-position model. The record is from RNAcentral.